This 356-nucleotide ribosomal RNA is filed under the name Trogonophis wiegmanni (checkerboard worm lizard). Its description in RNAcentral is "partial 12S ribosomal RNA". It matches the Rfam family "Bacterial small subunit ribosomal RNA", at positions 861 to 1384 of the family's 1533-position model. The record is from RNAcentral. Lineage: Eukaryota; Metazoa; Chordata; Lepidosauria; Squamata; Trogonophidae.
CCAACUGUUCGCCAGAGGACUACAAGCGAAAAGCUUGAAACUCAAAGGACUUGGCGGUGCCCCAUUCAGCCUAGAGGAGCCUGUUCUAUAACCCGACACCACACGUUCAACCCCACCCCCCAUUGCAAAAUCAGCCUAUAUACCGCCGUCGUCAGUUUACCCUAUGAAGGCCAACCCAGUAGACAAAAAAAUCACCCAUUAACACGACAGGUCGAGGUGUAGCUAAUUGAGGGGCAGAAAUGGGCUACAUUUUCCUACAACGAACACACGUACAGUAGACUGAAAAACUACUACUAAGGCGGAUUUAGCAGUAAAAUGAACCAGGAUGUUCACUUUAACAUAGCUCUGGGGCGCGC